AGGCCCUUCAACGAAAUGCUAGGGGCAUUAGCGUCAUUUUCCUCACGUACGUCGUGUCCAAGCCCGGGGCACGCGGGGGACGUAUCUCCCUUCCCUUCCCUCCUUCCAAUGGUGUCUUUAUGCCGAAUUGUCUCUCCUUUCCUUCCAUCCUCACCGCAGCAACACCUCUUAUCCUUCCCGUUUUGCCCUCGACGAUCGCACAAUAUCACCAAAUUGCCACUCUUCGGCCGAAGCCGCUUCUCAAAGCUCGUCUCUUCGUCGACGCCUUCGUCAUCCAUGGAAACUCCUCCUGAAGGCUACAGAAGGAACGUAGGCAUCUGCCUUACGAACCCUUGUAAAAACAAGAUAUUCAAUGCUUCAAGGCUGGAUAUCCCUGGCGCCUGGCAAAUGCCGCAGGGCGGUGUUGAUGAGGGAGAAGAUCCAAAACAUGCAGCUAUCAGAGAGUUGAGAGAAGAAACUGGAGUUGCUUCUGCAGAAGUUAUUGCAGAGGUCCCUUACUGGCUGACUUAUGAUUUCCCUCCAGAUGUGAAAGAAAAAAUUAAUAGUUCGUGGGGAUCAAACUGGAAAGGUCAAGCACAGAAGUGGUUUCUUCUUAGACUUACUGGAAAUGAAGACGAGAUUAAUCUUUUGGGCGAUGGGAGAGAGAAGGCGGAGUUUGGAGAGUGGUCAUGGAUGACACCCCAGCAAGUAAUCGAGCUUGCAGUGGAUUUCAAGAAGCCUAUUUACGAGGAAGUUUUGAAGGUUUUUGCUCCUCACUUGCAGUCAGAUUCAGAUGAGCAGGUAUAGACAACUGAUGCCUCCAGAAAUUCUGUUGUGCGUCUGUGAUGGUGGCAGGUCAAAAUGGUAUCCAAAUUGAUAUCUGUGCAAAAGCUUUGGGAGGUUACAUAUGGUGUUUUUGUAAGAGAGAGAGAGAGAGCAAAAACGAAAAGAAAAUAAAAAGACCUCGUUUUGAUUUUUCUGUCAGUUAAUGUUUUUAAAUUAGGUUGUGUUUUGUUGCACCAAUUAGACUGAUUAAUCAUGAAAUAUCAUGAUACUGGGUGAAACCAAACACAAUCUUAGCGAACUGUAUAGGCAACUCAAAUCAUUGAGAAAGGCAGAAGAAGUCUUUUUGAAAAUCCAAAAUGCUUGAGCAACCUAAUCUUCAGAGAGCUGGGCAUAGUUCAAAAACCUGAAAACUCGACUAUCAAAUUGAUAUUUAAUGGUUGAAUUAAUAUGUAUAUUUGAGUAAUAAUAGAUAUUUGAUAUGUUA
Magnolia sinica is the source of this 1249-nucleotide RNA transcript. It is a transcript of the gene named nudix hydrolase 26, chloroplastic, with no coding region annotated. NCBI's taxonomy places the organism in Eukaryota, Viridiplantae, Streptophyta, Magnoliopsida, Magnoliales, Magnoliaceae. The transcript is spliced from 7 exons. The record is from RefSeq and is a predicted model, not a curated record.